Molecule: long non-coding RNA, 962 nt
Organism: Dalotia coriaria
Lineage: Eukaryota; Metazoa; Arthropoda; Insecta; Coleoptera; Staphylinidae
Exons: 3
Source: RefSeq, a predicted model, not a curated record
GAUGUAGACAAGUGCGACUUAAAUAAUUAUAAACGUUUGCAACAGGUAUAAGCAUACAAUAUUAUACGUAGGUAAUUGCAUAAAAUUUGUAACAACGUAGCUAAUUUUCAUGCCAAUCGAACGCUUUAAUUGAGACACGACAAUCAUGUAAAUCGCACAUGGAAUGUAAUUAACAUAAAAUUAUCCAUACAAAUGUGUAAUUGGUUAAACAGUUUGAAAACAAUCUGUGCCCACGUACGAAAUAGUUUUAUAAACACAAGGAAAUAAACAAACUUAUAUAACGACCAGCCGCAUAACAAAAAUCAGUAAAUGGGUAUAAAUAUCGGGAGAUUAUAAGAUAAAAAGAAAUCACAGAUGUUCGCAAUACAUUUAAUAAUUCCUUUCCGCCUGCGUACGCAGGUUUUCUCCAUACAAAUGAGUCAAAUAUUUUAUAUUGCCGAAAGUUUUCCAACAUCCAAAUGAUUCUGAAUGGAGAAGCCGAGCCACCAUGUUCGCAUCAACAUCCUACGUCCAGUGCACACGGCACACCCGUCUGAACCAGUUAAUCUCUAAAAUAUUUUUUCAACGCCCAAAAUAGACAGUAGCUUAAGCUUUCAUGUGGCGACUCACUACACUUUUGUACGCCUCCAUUGCCAAAGAUGGACUGAGGUCGGGUUGCGCACCAUCAUCGAGCUACAAUGCACGCAAUCGAAUAUCCAAUAUUUUCAUCUAUUGUCUCCGAAAAAACUUGUAAUUUAUUAUCUCAAGUGUUGGACUCUCAAACGCGACAUUAAUUGACUUUAAAUGAUUUUUUCAGUAUCCGCCAAAAUGCAACAAGCGGUCGUAAAUUAUUAUUAUAUUUGUGCGAUCUUCGUUUGUUAUGUGGAAAACAUAAAACUCUCGCGUUUUACUGCCGUGAAUAUUUUCGUGUUUAUAUUAUUUCGUGGUUGGCUGGAUCAUGCAUGUGCGGUUUUGACUUACAU